Molecule: small nuclear RNA, 103 nt
Organism: Podarcis raffonei (Aeolian wall lizard)
Lineage: Eukaryota; Metazoa; Chordata; Lepidosauria; Squamata; Lacertidae
Source: RefSeq, a predicted model, not a curated record
GUGCUUGCUUCGGCAGCACAUAUACUAAAAUUGGAACAAUACGGAGAAGAUUAGCAUGGCCCCUGUGCAAGGAUAACUUGGCUUAAUAUCCUAGCAGGUGAUU